Molecule: ribosomal RNA, 253 nt
Filed under: uncultured bacterium
Lineage: Bacteria
Description: partial 16S ribosomal RNA
Rfam family: Bacterial small subunit ribosomal RNA
Source: RNAcentral
UACGUGUGAGGCAAGCGUUAUUCGGAAUUAUUGGGCGUAAAGGGCGUGUAGGCGGCUUCGUAAGUCUUGUGUGAAAGCCCUCGGCUCAACCGAGGAAUUGCACGAGAAACUGCGUGGCUCGAGUCCGGGAGAGGAUAGUGGAAUUCCCAGUGUAGCGGUGAAAUGCGUAGAUAUUGGGAGGAACACCGGUGGCGAAGGCGGCUAUCUGGACCGGUACUGACGCUGAUACGCGAAAGCCAGGGGAGCAAACGGG